Non-coding RNA from Podarcis lilfordi (Lilford's wall lizard), 72 nucleotides. NCBI's taxonomy places the organism in Eukaryota, Metazoa, Chordata, Lepidosauria, Squamata, Lacertidae. The record is from the annotation of a GenBank genome assembly.
CCAACCAUUAGCUCAGUCAGUAGAGCAUGAGACUCACAAUCUCAAGGUCGUGGGUUUGAGCUGCAUGUUGGG